UCUAAUAUGGCAGAAUAGUGCAAUGAAUUUAAGAUUCAUAUAUAAAGAAAUAUCUUUUUUUAGAA
Molecule: transfer RNA, 65 nt
Filed under: Hyphydrus ovatus
Lineage: Eukaryota; Metazoa; Arthropoda; Insecta; Coleoptera; Dytiscidae
Description: tRNA-Leu
Source: RNAcentral